This 253-nucleotide ribosomal RNA is filed under the name uncultured bacterium. Its description in RNAcentral is "partial 16S ribosomal RNA". It matches the Rfam family "Bacterial small subunit ribosomal RNA", at positions 524 to 776 of the family's 1533-position model. The record is from RNAcentral.
UACGUAGGGUGCAAGCGUUGCUCGGAAUCACUGGGCGUAAAGGGCGCGUAGGCGGGAUGGCAAGUCAGUCGUGAAAUCUCUCGGCUCAACCGAGAAACGUCGGCUGAUACUGCCGUUCUUGAGGGAUGCAGAGGAGACUGGAAUUCCCGGUGUAGCGGUGAAAUGUGUAGAGAUCGGGAGGAACACCGGUGGCGAAGGCGGGUCUCUGGGCAUUUCCUGACGCUGAGGCGCGAAAGCGUGGGGAGCAAACGGG